GCCGGUACCACACCGGUACCCCAAGGACUUACCGAACGUGACCUUUUGUAGGUAUUCACCCCUCUGCAGUAGAACAUCUACCGAGGACAGUCACCUACCGAAGGCCUAAAAUCACUAAGUUGACGAAAUACGUGCAGAACCACUUUUUCGCAUCAUCAGUUUGGCGCCGUCUGUGGGAAACCGAAAAAAAAUUAACAACCCACCAUCUCCAAAACACAUGGGGACCAUUUCAGUACCCACGUUCUUAUCGGAAGAAGGCGUACCGUUCGGAAGGCAGAGCGGAGCUAGCCCAGCGCUACCCCCAUGCACUCCCUUCGAGAAUGCCCCCGCAACCCAAACAGCCGCCAAAGCCGAGCUGGCAGUCCAAAUCGCGUCCUCACGAAAAGACAUGGCGAGGCUUCAGGAGCACAACAAUUUUCUUUCGUCCAAAGUGGACGAAACCCAGCAGCUGCUCCACCAGCAGCACACCCAGAACAUCCAGACGACACGCUCUUCCGAGAGCUUGCAGACCCCCCAUAGGAAGAAGAAACGCGAGAAGGUACAGAAGGCAACGCCCGCACCUUCCAGAGAGUUGGUAGUUCCAGCACCCAGGGAUCAGCCGCCCGUCCCCAAGAAAGUCUACACCGAUUGUCGACAUUGGAUUAACGAUCGGGAGGCAGAGAGACAGAGGUCUCCGAUCAGGAUUAGCGCUCGACAAAGGGACUCACGGACGAAAAUCCUAGGAGACAAGUCGCCUAUUCGGAAGGUCAGAGGGCUAGACCCCGCAGAAGAGUCGGGAUCCGAAUAUAUCCCUUCCCAGACGCAAACUUCCACCUACCAUUCGGCAACGCCUUCACAGUACGCGGGGGUUGAUCCAUCAAACCUACGAAGGCGAUCGGAAGAUUACGGUUCCGAGGAAAUCCCUAGCCGAGACCCCGUUGUCCGAGUCUUUUUUUAAAAAGUCCAGAAAAUGGAAAACGACAACGCCCGCUCCCAAGGACCGGAGUGGGGAAAACUUCGGCCAGGACCGUUCACCAGGCACAUCCGAGACUCUCAGCAGGAUCGGGAAGGGCAGCAACUGCGUAUACCAUUCUAUACGGGAACGGAAGACCCAUUAACACACCUCCACUCAUUUCAGUCCGCCAAUGGAUGCAAGGGCCUGAGCGAUGAAGGGCAGUGCCUGCUAUUCCCGUCCUCUCUUACCGGGGCAGCCCUGAACUGGUUCUACCGGUUGGAGCCGGAAACGGUAGACUCAUUCGACGAGCUGAAGCAGAUUUUCCUCAACCACUUCAUGAUCCAAACGGACCGUCUUUACUCUGCCGAUGAUCUGCACACGAUUCGGCAAAGAUAGGACGAACCGUUGAGAGAAUACGUGGUGCGCUUCAGUCACGAGUACUCAAGGUGUCCGAAAACAGACGAUAGGGCAGCCUACGGCACCUUUAAGAGUGGCCUUCGGUCCUCGCAUUUUCGAUACCUAGUACACAGCAGCAACUGGCGCACGUACGACGAACUGAUGAAGCAGGCGGCAAUCCACGCCAAGGCCGAAUAUUUCAACUCGAAACCCACGGCUUCGGCACCGCGAGGAGACGCCGAACCAAGUGCUUUUUCGGCAAAAGCGACACCCUACGAGAGAGCCGACACAUACUCGGCAGGUCAUAAGAGAAAGGACGACCGCGCCGAUUGAAGAGAACACUCGAAGAAAGGGAAAGGGCGGUAUGGUCGCAACGACAACCGAGCGCCACUGCCGAAUCGUGACCACGGCAAUGAAGUCUUCACCUUGUUGAACACUACCUACGAGGCCGUCCUGAUGAACGAACAAGAAAUAAUACCGAAGCCGAAUGCCCGAAGACCCAAUUGGCAAGACAACCGGGAUACCGAUAAAUUCUGCCGAUACCAUCAGCACAACAGCCAUAAUACGGAAGACUGUAUAACCCAGAGAAAAAUUAUCGAACGGUUGAUCAGAGAGGGGAAGCUAGAUCAGUACAUCGCCCGGCAGCCAACGGCGCCGGUGCCGAAUUCAAUUCGGCAGAUAAACAUGAUAAGCACUAUUAGCGGUGGCCCCACCGUCGCAGGAAUGAGCAACCGGUCAAUGAAGCAAUAUGUGCGUGCCGCACAAUUUCCUCAAGUAUUCAGCAUAGAGGUGAAUCGGCACCAGGAAAUCUCGAAAGUUCGUUGGGAACCAAUCACAUUCUGCGAAGAGGAGGAAGAAGGCAUCCUCUAUCCCCAUGACGACCCGAUGAUCGUCCGAGCAGAAAUUGCCAACUACGAUGUAGGAAGAGUGCUGAUCGAUACCGGGAGCUCGGUAAAUGUGAUUUUUUCCGAAGCUGUCCGAGAGAUGGGAAUAAAGGACUGCCAGGUGAACCGGCAGUUGACACCUUUGUUAAGUUUCUCCGGAGAGCUGGUCCAACCGAUCGGUAGUGUAAAACUACCCAUUACCUUCGGUACCACACCAAGGAAAACGACGGUAUACGAUCAAUUCCUCAUCGUUGACUGCCCGACGGCGUACAACGUCAUAGUUGGACGGACGGCACUCACCAAGGUCAAUGCACAUCUUUCCCCCCACAUGCUACUGAUGAAGUUCCCAACCCCCUACGGCACAGGGGCUGUCCGAGGAAAUCAGUUAAGCGCGCGGACUUGCUAUGCCACGGCACUAAAGUCAACCUCUGUCCAAAUCCCCGACGAGACCAUGUCUGUACAGGGGAUACCGAACGGUACGGGACCCGUUGACGACCCUAGGGAUGAGUCCCCGACUCCUCACACACAACCUGCCGAAGAACUGGAAACGAUAACCCUGAGCGACGAGCAGCCCGAUCGUCGGGUUAAAAUCGGCACCAGACUCACCCCUAACCUCCGAGCGCAGUUCAUAGACUUCUUACGGCACCAUUCAGAGGUGUUCGCGUGGUCUUACGAAGAUAUGCCCGGCAUAGAUCUUGAGAUCAUCAGCCAUAAACUCAGCAUUUCCCCCGCUUAUAGGCCUGUAAGACAGAAGCGCCGUUCGUAUGAUGCCAAACGAUACGAAGCGAUGCGCACGGAGGUUGACAAACUUUAAACCAUCGGCUUCAUCAGGGAGACUACGUAUCUGGUAUGGCUAGCAAACUCGGUGAUGGUCCGGAAGGGCACAGGCGGGUGGCGAAUGUGCCAAGACUAUACCGAUUUGAACAAAGCCUGCCCGAAAGACAGCUUCCCGUUGCCACGGAUAGACCAGCUCGUGGACGCCACCGCCGAACACGAACUGCUCAGCUUCAUGGACGCCUAUUCGGGAUACAAUCAGAUAUUCAUGCACCCUCCCGACAGCGAACACACCGCCUUCAUAACGGACAGGGGUUUGUACUGUUACAAUGUCAUGUCGUUCGGCCUGAAGAACGCGGGGGCAACAUAUCAAAGGCUCGUCAACAGAAUCUUCGCCAAGUACAUCGGCAGCAUCAUGGAGGUUUACGUUGACGACAUGCUAGUAAAAAGCAAAACUACCGAAGAACAUCUGCAGAAUCUGUCAGUCAUGUUCGGCGUACUGAAGGACUACCGGAUGAGGCUGAACCCGACGAAGUGCGCCUUCGGUGUAUCUUCCGGGAAAUUCCUCGGGUUCAUGAUUAGUCACAGGGGUAUCGAAGCGAAUCCCGAAAAAAUAAAGGCAAUCAUCGACAUGGAAAGACCGAAGACGACGAAGGACAUUCAAAGCCUUACCGGACGCGUCGCGACCUUGACUCGUUUCAUAUCAAAGGCUACCGACAAAUGUGUACCGUUCUUUAAAGCCUUGAAAGGGGCAAACGGAAUAUCAUAUGGACUGCCGAGUGUGAUAAAACAUUUCAAGACUUAAAGGACUACAUGGGCAGAGCACCCCUCCUGUCAAAACCACUACCUGGGGAGAUUCUCUAUCUAUACCUUUCGGUAUCUAGCACUGCUGUCAGUUCGGUAUUGAUCCAAAAGCCAGAGAGGGCAGAGCUACCGAUUUUUUAUGUUAGCAAGGCACUCCAGAGUGCUGAACUUCGGUAUCCCCCAUUAGAGCAGCUUGCACUAGCCCUGGUGGUCUCGGCACGAAGACUUCGGCCAUACUUCCAAGCAUACGGGAUCAAAGUUCUGACUAACCAACCUCUUCGGCAGGUGCUCUAAAAACCGGAGACUUCUGGCCGAUUGAACAAGUGGGCGAUCGAACUUGGAGAGUUCGAUAUACAAUUCAUGCCUAGGCCCGCCGAAAAGGGUCAAGCCAUUGCCGAUUUCAUCUCCGAGCUCACCCCAUCAACGGCACAGCCGGCACCCGAGCCGGUUAUCGAGAUCGAAUUGUCGGAGGAACUAGACACCGAACGCUUUGACGUCUCAACUCUAGUAUGGAUUCUGCACGUCGAUGGCUCGGCAAACCAACAAGGGUGCGGAGCAGGCUUGGUACUGACAACACCGGAGGGACUCAAGAUCGAGUACGCCCUCCGAUUCGACUUCCGAACCUCCAACAACGAAGCAGAAUAUGAGGCUCUCUUGGCCGGCCUUCGGUUAGCCAAGAGCAUGAAUGCAAAACAAAUCAGAAUUCACAGCGACUCCCAGCUCAUUGUGAACCAGGUAACGGCAGACUUCGCGGCCAGAGACGCUUCCAUGCACGCCUACCUUUCGACCACCCAUCAACUGCUCCAAAGCUUCCGAGCCUACGAGAUCAAGCAGAUCCCCAGCGAAAACAGCCAUGCCGAUGCAUUGGCACGGCUGGCUUCGGCAAUCAAUGAUAAGGUCGGAAGAACGGUGCCGCUGGAGAUUCUUGCUCGACCGAGCACGGUAACUUCUGAAACAUGUACCGUACGGUACGAAGAUACAUGGAUGUCUCCUAUCUACUCGUAUCUGACCAACGGCACCCUUCCAAAAGACAAAGCCCAGGCCAGAAAGCUUAGGUACCGAUCGGCAAGGUACACCGUCAUCAACGACGUCCUUUACAAACAUGGCUACACAACUCCAUAUCUCAAAUGCCUUACGGCAGAACAGAGGGACUACGUCCUUCGGGAGAUCCACAAUGGUGUGUGCGGUGACCAUUCCGGGUCCCGGUCACUCGCCCACAAAACCUUUCGGCAGGGAUACUUUUGGCCGACCAUGCACCAGGACGCUAUCUCGCUAGUGAAAAAAUGUGAUAAAUGCCAGCGUUUCGGCAACAUACCGCACAUCCCUGCCGAACCUCUGACACCGAUCGUAAGUCCUUGGCCUUUCGCACAAUGGGGACUGGACCUGAUCGGUCCAAUGCCACAAGGCAAAGGCCAGGUGAAAUACGCAGUGGUCGCCGUCGACUAUUUCACCAAAUGGGUAGAAGCUGAACCUCUGGCAACCAUAACGGCAGCAAAGAUAGAGGACUUCGUCUGGACUCACAUUUGUUGCAGGUUCAGUAUCCCGUAUGCGAUCAUAACCGACAACGGCAGGCAGUUCGAUUCGGAACUCUUCAGGCAAUUUUGCACCCGCCUGAAAGUCAACCUGUUUUUCGCAUCACCGGCACAUCCCCAGUCAAACGGUCAGGUGGAAGCAAUAAACAAAAUCAUCAAGAAACUACUGAAACGGCAGCUGGACAAAGCCAAAGGAGCCUGGCCAGAAAAGCUUCCCGAAGCACUCUGGGCCAUUCGGACAUCUUACCGAACGUCCACGGGAGAGACCCCUUUCUCUUUGGCUUUCGGUUCGGAGGCUGUGGUGCCCGUGGAAAUCGGCAAACCUUCCUACCGAACGGAAACCUUCGCACCGAAGCCAAAUGAAGAAGCGCUUUCUCUAAACCUCGACCUUCUUGAAGAGCACCGAGCACAUGCCAACCUUCGGAAUGAAGCCUACAAGCAACGUGUCUCUCGGUAUUACGACUCCAGAGUCAGACACCACUCAUCCCGAAUCGGAGAUUGGGUCAUGCGGAAGGUAUCCCUAGCAACCAAGGAAGCCACGGAAGGAACCCUCGGACCUUCCUGGGAAGGACCUUAUGAGAUCAUCGGUAUCCUUCGAUCGGGAACUUACCGCCUAAGAGACUCUAACGGCAAGACCCUCGGUCAUCCUUGGAACGUGGAACAUCUCAAAUACUAUUUCAAGUAACCUAGCCUACGGUAGGACAAAGUUGUAACCUAGCCUACGGCAGGACAAAGUUGUAACCGAUUGAAAUGUAUAUGCCCUUCGGCAGAAAUUAAUCGAAAGCCUUCGGCACUAUUACUUCAGAACAUCUAUUUAAACAACUCAACUAGCCCACGGCAGCCACUAGUGGCGACUUAACGUUCUACGGCAUCUUAUUAGCCUACGGCAAUAAAUGUUUUUCGAAAUUGUUACCCUACAGAUUCCAUCGGAACUUAUCAAUUUCGAAAUCCCUUUAACGUUAUACAUCCUAUACGGAGCCUUUCGGCAAUAGAACGAUCGGCAAUUGCAACAAAAUCAGAUUGUUCAAACAGUGGAGAAAAAUAUGCAUUUAAAUUAGAGAUGCCCUCGGCAUCAAUGUGUUCGGUACAUACAAAAAAAAACAAAUACAAUUAUUACAAAUAAAAAGGCAAGGCCCUCAAGCUUCAUCCCCGGCAGCAGCCUCGGCAGAUCCGGAGCCUUCGGCGGCGUUCUCUCCCUCGUACUCUUCAAUCAUCUCCUCAGUUAUCCCUUCCGGUAGAGGAGGAGGAUCGGCAAUGAAGUUCAGGUUCAGCUUCUGCCCAGGGUUGUACCGUUUGAAUCGGUACAACAGGUCCGCCAGGUCCGCCAUCUCCGCCCGCUUCUGCCCAGGAUCGGCAAUGAACUCUUCAGACGCACGGUACCCCUGGAUCGCCGACCGAACGGCAACCUCGACCUCCGCAGCUUUGGCCCGUUCCGAUUCCACCAAGGCCACCUGCACCGCUGCCUUCGCCCGUUCCGACUCCUCCAGAGCCACCUGCACCCCGUCUUUGGAAGCCUCGGCAUCCUUCGUUGCCUCCAGCGCCGCCUCCAGGAGACCCUUCAUCUCCUCCACCUGCCGUACGGCAGAUUCUUUCUCCUUUGCCAGGUGGGCGUGCUCCUGGAGCGCUUUGCCGGCCUCGGCAACCUUGGCCCUGCCGUCUUCGUACUCCUUCUUGGCGCGCUCAGCAGCAGCAAUGGCCCGCUUGACGCAGAGCAACAUGUCCAUGGACGCCUGCACAAAACAAAUAAGGUUAGAAGCAUGCCCCACUUACAAAAAUAAAAGGACGAAAGAAGAAAAGCAAUCUUACCGAGGCCUGGAGCCGGAAGGCGCGCCCAGCCUCCUCCCGAAGAAACUUCUUCGGUAGCUCGUCGAUCUCCGGCAGCUCCAUUUGAGAGCCGAGGAUCAUAUGGUUGACGAAUUGGAUCGUUUUCGCCGGGCAGGCGAUGGUGACAGCCUCGGAAGGACCGUCCUCGUCCUCCACCGCAAGGACGGCCCUGGAAACCUCCGACUGGCGAGGACGCUUGGGGGCUGGCUCGGCCUCCAGAUCAACCAUCUCCGGUCGCUUGCCGGCAGCCUUGGAGGUGGCGGCUUCGGCGUCCCGAUGCCUCGGUGCGUCGACUUCAUCAGCAGGGCGCCUCGGAAGAGGCUCGGCAUCAAGCUGUCGAAGACGCUCAGCAAGGGUAUGAUCCUCCGGAUCCACCACCGCCUGCCGAACGGAAGCUGCCUCAUGCUGUUUUUUCUUUUUCUUGCCCUCCAGGCCCAUCAUCAGGCGCCUCCUAGAGGACUCAUUUAUCUUCUUCGCCUCGGCAGCCUUCCUAGCGCCCGUCACUGGUCAAAGGCAAUGGGUCAGUCGGCAAGCAAAAGCAAAAAAAAAAAAAAAAAAAAAAAGGACAAGUAUACUUACUCUCGGCAGGGUUAACAAGGCCGGCUCUGACGAGGUUGUCGGUGAAGAGGAAGCGUGGAUAAACUCGCUCGGCAGCGGGUACUCUCGACCUCACUCUGUCCAGCUGCCGGAUCUCACUCGGCUUGGGGCUCGGCUGCUUGAGUUUGCCUGUCAAACGAAAAAAAAAUUAAUAAAAUACAACAAGGGAGAAGAGAAGCCAGCCUACCGAUCGGUAGUUCGAAAACCUACCAGCAAUCUGGAAUGUCGUGGGGACCGGGAAGCUAGGGGGUGUUCCCGAUGGCGAUUCCCAAUCACCGGAGAGCAGCACCCGCCGAUUCCUCCACGACUUCUGAGAAGUCGGCACCGAGCUGAUGAAAUUCCCCCGCUCGGAAGCCUUCAGCCAGUUCGCCUGAACCCAGCCGCCGUGAUCGGCGCUCUUGGACUUGGUGACGCUGUACAGAUAGGAGAACUGCUCGUAGGAAGGCUCCCCCUCCUCGGCAAUCCCGAACGCAGCGAUCACCCCCAUCAAGGCCACCCAGAAGUUGGGGUUGUACUGGCCGGGAGCAUACCCGAUCUGGGCAAGGAUCUUCUACACUGCAGGUUGCAACGGCAACCGAACCCCUUGCAGAAGAACGUCGGUGAAGAAGGUCACUUCACCGUUCGCUGGGUCGCUGAGGGAUUCGACGGGGCUCGGUAUCCUCAUCCUCACCGAGGCUAGAAUGAGGUACUCGGCCCUGAUCUUCUCCAACUCCCGUUCGGUGAUCUUAUUGGGCUCCAGGUAGUCGACCCCGAACAGAGUCUUAUGGGGCACACCCACCGGUACCCUAGGCGGCCCUCGUUGGACGAUGGUUACCUUCGGCCGGGAGGGACCGGCAGGGCCCUCACUACGACCGGAGGUGGAGGCCUCAGGCUGGUGCUCGAACGGCCCGACACGGGUACCGUCCUUGUACACCGCAGCCAAGGGUAGCGGUUGCCCCGUCAUAAGCCCCUUGCCGAUGCCAUGGGUGGGAACGGAGUUCACCUCCUCACCGAAUAACUCGGUAUCGGUGUCUUCUCCACCCUCGGUGCCGAGGCUCACGGCCACGCUGGACGUAUCCCAGCCCGAAGACAACUCCCCAUCGAAAGCGUUGGGCUCACUACCGAACAGCGACUCGCUAUCGGACAUCUACAAAACAGAGAAAGGGAAGCUAAGGCACGUGCCACAAACUACCCUACCGAUACCUACAUCGCUACCUAUGGCCACUAGACUACCGAAGGAAAAUCCUACUUAACGAUCGGCUAGCCUACGCCAUGGAAAGACGUAUAAUUACAUAAAGAGAGAAUAUUCAGGGGGUACCGAACAGUAUCUUACCUUGAGUAGUGUGGGAUGAUUGGGUUACCGUUCAGUCUCGUUGAAAAUCGCCCUGUGUGCCGAGAACCGCUGUGAAAAAUCGCCUUGGUUGCCGUUCACUCUCUUCGAAAAUCGCCUGCGCAGAGCUCUCGCAUCAAACUCACAAUUGCAAAGUGAGCCUUACACCCGGAGCCAUCUCUAUUUAUAGGGAGAGAGGUGUAACGGUACGCCUCAAAAGACUAAACGGCUCAUCAAUGCGCCGUCAGACGUGCUUUUACUGGCCACGCGUCACCUAGCUAAUGGCGCGGCUGACUGCACGCCAAGCACAGAAGACGAAGCGUCUCUCUUCCCCUAAAACCCUCUCAGCAUCAACGACCCCUCGAGUCCCAGGCCAAUCUCCCCAGAACGAAUCUACCGAACGGCAGGUUAUCCUCCUAACCGCCAUGGGGAACUAACUUCCCUUCCGAAGGACCUUCGGAAGAGAACUUGGGGGACUACUGUUUAUACCGGGAAGAAACGGCAUAUAACCACCGAACACGUGGACAGGAUCGAUAUUGAUCACAGAUCCUCUUCGGCAUGCUUCCUACCGAAGCCAUCUAUCUUGGCCUCUUUUUACCAUCGGACACGUGUCAUGCUUACAAUCCAUGUCCACAGUCCCACAUCGGAAUUAUGAGCACAGUGCACACCUCCCAAGGCCUAUUUAAGAAGACCCCUAUCCCCAAAAGGAGGGGAUCAGAACUAACGGUAUGCUAUCGAUUGAUCUGUCAGUUAACAUUACUAAAACCGUACUUACUAAAGCAUCGGAGAGCCUUCGGCCGGUACCCCAAGGACUUACCGAACGUGACCUUUUGUAGGUAUUCACCCCUCUGCAGUAGAACAUCUACCAAGGACAGUCACCUACCGAAGGCCUAAAAUCACUAAGUUGACGAAAGACGUGUAGAACCACUUUUUCGCAUCAACAGAAUGGUACUACACUCAUAAAAACCCAAUUUAUAUUUCCUUCCCCGAAAAAAAAAAGGGAGCCCGUAUUAUAUCAGUAAAAUCAUUUCCC
This 10087-nucleotide long non-coding RNA is filed under the name Prunus persica (peach). Its description in RNAcentral is "long non-coding RNA (PPER_LNC008239)". Lineage: Eukaryota; Viridiplantae; Streptophyta; Magnoliopsida; Rosales; Rosaceae. The record is from RNAcentral.